This 2571-nucleotide ribosomal RNA is filed under the name Triticum aestivum (bread wheat). RNAcentral describes it as "partial small subunit ribosomal RNA". The record is from RNAcentral. Lineage: Eukaryota; Viridiplantae; Streptophyta; Magnoliopsida; Poales; Poaceae.
AUGACAAGUGACAAGGGAAGGACUUCAAAGAAGGCCGCUGAGGGUUCACCCUCUGCUUUGGCUGUGCCUGAUGGAAGAGCCAGCAGUGGACCUCAGAAGGGGCAGUUGUCCAAUGGGAGGACAACGGGUCCAGCAAGGCGCUCGACCAAGGGAAAUUGGACCCUCGAAGAGGACGAUAUACUUCGGAAGGCUGUUGAAAUCCACAAUGGGAAAAAUUGGAAAAAGAUAGCUGAGUGUUUUCCUGAUAGGACCGACGUUCAAUGCUUGCAUAGGUGGCAGAAGGUUUUGAAUCCUGAGCUAGUCAAAGGGCCAUGGUCUAAAGAAGAAGAUGACAUCAUUAUUCAGAUGGUAAAGAAAUAUGGACCCACGAAAUGGUCAACCAUCGCCCAAGCUUUGUCAGGACGCAUUGGGAAGCAAUGUCGCGAAAGGUGGCACAAUCACCUUAAUCCUGGUAUAAACAAAGAUGCAUGGACGCAAGAAGAGGAGAUAAGGCUCAUUCAGGCUCAUCACAUAUACGGAAACAAAUGGGCUGAACUGUCAAAAUUUCUACCAGGAAGGACGGACAAUGCAAUAAAAAAUCAUUGGCACAGCUCAGUUAAGAAGAAAUAUGAAUCGUAUAGAGCAGAAGGAUUACUGGCUCAGUUCCAGGGCCUACCAGCUGCUCUAUAUCCUACAGGGAGUCUAAAUGUUGAUUCAUCAUCUGCAAUGAUGCAGCAAAAUAGUGAUGGCAGUGGUUUGAAUGUUAAUCAGGAGGUACAAGAUUCCUCGGAGUUUAGCCAAUCAGCAUUGGCUAAUAUUUCUUCUUCUCAAGUGGAGCAAGUUGAUGAGCCUGUGGGCUGUCAUGGGCAAAUACAUUCCAGUGAUGGAGCGCAUGACUCUUACUCUUCAUGUCAGGAAGCAUGCGAUACUAAAGCCAACGAUGCUGCCUCUACUUCACCAGAGACUCGUCACCAGUUGUCAAUCUCUGAAAAUGAUCCAGAUAUGCACUGGCAGCAAGACCUUUCUGUAGCCGACUUCGAUCUUCAGUCAGAACUGUGGCAGGAUAUUUCUUAUCAGAGUCUUACUGCACCAGACUCCAUCAGUGCUGAUUCUUUCUUCAGCCCAAAUUACCAGCACAGUGCAUGCUCAUCUGAAGUUGCGAACAAUUUUGAAGAACCACUUUAUCCAUUGCAUACAUACUCAUCAAGCAGGACAGGCACUGUGCAUCAUCAAAGUUCUGCAACAUCAGUACCUCCAUCCUUUAUUUGUUCAGGCCGUGCUAGCCAGAUUGUUUCCAGUGAACUGCCUAUAGUACCAGAAUCCAAAGAGCAACAGAUGACAAGUGUUGAAGAGUCACUGCCUAUAGUGCCAGAAUCCAAAGAGCAACAGCUGACAAGUGUUGAAGAGUCACAACCUUUGGAAUCUACAACCAUGGGAAGAGAAGCGUCACCAAACCAUGGUAAAUCCGUGGUAGGACAAAAGCAGCAUUCAGAAUCUUUAUGCUAUGAACCUCCUUGCUUUCCAAGCCUUGAAGUUCCAUUUGUCAGCUGCGAGCUCAUAAGCUCGAGUGACCUGCCAGAAUAUAGUCCUCUUGGCAUUCGACAGUUCAUGAGGCCAUCCAUGAGCUUCUCCACUCCACUAAGAUUAUGGAGCUCCCCUACACGCGAUAGGAGUCCUGAUGAUGUGCUGAAAAGUGCUGCCAAAAGUUCUGUAUGCACACCGUCGAUAAUGAAGAAGCGGCAGAGAGAGCCCCCAUCUCCUAUUCCAGAUGUAAGACUUGCAAAGAAAAUGGGUACUGAAAAGGAUUGUGGUAGCUCAGCCAUGCCAUCCACAAGAACUGAGAGAUCUUGCAGAGAUGCCACUCGAGAUGAUUCGCUUGAUUUGAUUCCUGAAAAUUCGAAAGAUAUCAUUUAUCAGGGUAAAACUGAAGAUAAUGCAAACAUAAAUACUUUGGAGAAACGAGAGAGAUGUUCCACUACCGAGAGGGAUACCGCUUACAAUCUAGUAUCCGCAGGGAUUCUUACUGAUAGGAAUGGUCCAAAUCCAGAACGUCGGAAGCUAAAUACCCCUACAAAAUCUUUUUCUAAAGACAUAAUAUCUUCUCGAUCAAAACCAACAGAACUUCUCGUUGAAAAAUCUUCAGUGUAUAUCAAUGCUGAUUAUGAGUAUGUAAACAUACUAGCUGAUACCCCAGGAAUCAAAAGAGGGUUAGAAUCUCCUUCUGCAUGGAAAUCUCCUUUGUUCACAAACUUCCAGGAUGGAUUCUUCAUGAGCCCAACAGGCACAACUUUUGAUGCUCUAGGAUUGGUGAAGCAAAUAAAUGAGCAGAACGCUCCAGCUCUGGAGGAAGCGCAUGAACUCCUGGAAAGUGGGAGCCUAUGUAACAAGGAAAGCUCUGAUAAGGAAAACAUAAAACAUAUUGUUAUCAAGAAGGAACAUGCUACAACCAAUCAGAUAUCCAAUGUCAUGUCGGAAGCAAGGAUUCUUGAUUUCAACGAGUGCACCACACCUGUGAAGAAGAAAGAAGACAACAGAUGCAGCACUUUAGGAAGAUCUCCAACUUCCUCUUAUGUCUUGAAGAAUGUGCGGUAG